CGUGUAGGCGGCUGGAUAAGUCAGAUGUGAAAGCCCUGGGCUUAACCCAGGAAGUGCAUUUGAAACUGUUCAGCUUGAGUAGGGGAGAGGAAAGUGGAAUUCCUGGUGUAGAGGUGAAAUUCGUAGAUACUCAGGAGGAACACCGGUGGCGAAGGCGACUUUCUGGCCCUAUACUGACGCUGAGACGCGAGAGCGUGGGUAGCAAACA
Molecule: ribosomal RNA, 208 nt
Filed under: uncultured Smithella sp.
Lineage: Bacteria; Pseudomonadati; Thermodesulfobacteriota; Syntrophia; Syntrophales; Smithellaceae
Description: partial 16S ribosomal RNA
Rfam family: Bacterial small subunit ribosomal RNA
Source: RNAcentral